AUAUAGGUUAAGUUGGCAAGGAAAGCAGCCUGCCUAACCCGAACACAAUGCUUUCUCUAAACAUGUAGAAAGCGUGACCAUUGCACUUCCGGACCAGGGUUCGAAUCCCUGCAGCUCCACUA
This 122-nucleotide transfer-messenger RNA is filed under the name Bacteroidetes bacterium B1(2017). It matches the Rfam family "transfer-messenger RNA", at positions 236 to 374 of the family's 374-position model. Rfam says of the family: Bacterial tmRNA, also known as 10Sa RNA or SsrA, is named for its dual tRNA and mRNA-like properties. Its role is to liberate the mRNA from a stalled ribosome. Lineage: Bacteria; Pseudomonadati; Bacteroidota. The record is from Rfam by way of RNAcentral.